UGGGUGUGAAGACCCUUCGUUGGCUGAAGCUUGCGCUGCUAUAUAUCAGGCACUUCAGAUUGCAGUACUAUCGUAGAGAUGAUUCAGGGAGAAAAGCAAAUCCCUAGAACGUGAACAUUAUUUUGGGAAUUCAGGGAAAAGAUUAUUCAAUUUAGGAAUUGUAGCUUUAUUGGCCCAUACUCAUCCUAAUAGGGUGUGGAUUGAAGAAGCCCACCCAUUGCUUCUGCUAGGAGACUAGCUUCAUUGGCCCAUACUCAUCCUAAUAGGGUGUGGAUUGAAGAAGCCCACCCAUUGCUUCUG
Molecule: long non-coding RNA, 300 nt
Filed under: Trifolium pratense (red clover)
Lineage: Eukaryota; Viridiplantae; Streptophyta; Magnoliopsida; Fabales; Fabaceae
Description: long non-coding RNA (TPRA_LNC005671)
Source: RNAcentral